AUGGUAGGCGCGGUCGGUGCCGGGCUGUUGGUGGUGCCGACGAUGUUUACACUGGUGCUGAGUCAAUCGGGGCCGGUCAUGACAAGAGUUGAUUCCAUAAGUCCUCAGCAGACAGUAGAGUCUGGUACAGAAGGAGAGUCAGUAAUGCUCAGCUGCUCUUAUACUGCAAGUAGCAACAACGUUGUUCUCUACUGGUAUCAGCAGAACUCAAACCGAGCCCAGGAAUACAUAUUGCUUAAAGGAGCUGAGGGACCCUUCAAACACUGUAGUAAACGAGCCCGGUUUUCAGCUACAUUGGAUAAGGAAUCCAGCAGUGUGCCUUUAACAAUAUCAGCAGCCCUGGUGAGCGACUCUGCAGUUUACUACUGUGCGCUGAGACCCGCGCUGUGA
Molecule: non-coding RNA, 390 nt
Organism: Polyodon spathula (Mississippi paddlefish)
Lineage: Eukaryota; Metazoa; Chordata; Actinopteri; Acipenseriformes; Polyodontidae
Source: the annotation of a RefSeq genome assembly